This 492-nucleotide ribosomal RNA is filed under the name uncultured bacterium. RNAcentral's name for it is "partial 16S ribosomal RNA". It matches the Rfam family "Bacterial small subunit ribosomal RNA", at positions 29 to 507 of the family's 1533-position model. The record is from RNAcentral.
AGUGAACGCUGGCGGUAGGCCUAAUACAUGCAAGUCGAACGGCAGCACAGUAAGAGCUUGCUCUUACGGGUGGCGAGUGGCGGACGGGUGAGGCAUACAUCGGAAUCUACUUUUUCGUGGGGGAUAACGUAGGGAAACUUACGCUAAUACCGCAUACGACCUACGGGUGAAAGCAGGGGAUCUUCGGACCUUUCGCGAUUGAAUGAGCCGAUGUCGGAUUAGCUAGUUGGCGGGGUAAAGGCCCACCAAGGCGACGAUCCGUAGCUGGUCUGAGAGGAUGAUCAGCCACACUGGAACUGAGACACGGUCCAGACUCCUACGGGAGGCAGCAGUGGGGAAUAUUGGACAAUGGGCGCAAGCCUGAUCCAGCCAUACCGCGUGGGUGAAGAAGGCCUUCGGGUUGUAAAGCCCUUUUGUUGGGAAAGAAAAGCAGCAGGAUAAUACCCCGCUGUUCUGACGGUACCUAAAGAAUAAGCACCGGCUAACUUCGUG